Molecule: ribosomal RNA, 260 nt
Filed under: uncultured bacterium
Lineage: Bacteria
Description: partial 16S ribosomal RNA
Rfam family: Bacterial small subunit ribosomal RNA
Source: RNAcentral
CGUAGGGCGCAAGCGUUGUCCGGAAUUAUUGGGGCGUAAAAGAGCUCGUAGGCGGUUUGUCGCGUCUGCUGUGAAAAGCCCCGGGGCUUAACCCCCGGGUGUGCAGUGGGUACGGGGCAGACUAGAGUGCAGUAGGGGAGACUGGAAUUCCUGGUGUAGCGGUGGAAUGCGCAGAUAUCAGGGGGGAACACCGAUGGCGAAGGCAGGUCUCUGGCUGUACUGACGCUGAGGAGCGAAAGCAUGGGGGAGCGAACAGGAUU